RNAcentral lists this long non-coding RNA (277 nucleotides) under Nicotiana benthamiana. RNAcentral describes it as "long non-coding RNA (NBEN_LNC033826)". Lineage: Eukaryota; Viridiplantae; Streptophyta; Magnoliopsida; Solanales; Solanaceae. The record is from RNAcentral.
CUCAGGCAGGCCUCCAGGCAGUGGUAUGCUAAGCUGUCAUCUGCUCUUCAUUCAAGAGGUUAAAGGCACUCUUUGAAUGAUUAUUCGUCUAUGUCUGUAAUUAGACUAGUUAUGUAAAUAGGCUAUACUUGCAAUUAGGCCAGUCAUGUAAAUAGGCUAUAUCUGUAAAAGGGGUUAUUUUGAUAUAAGGGGUCAGGGGUCGUUUGUAAUAACCGAGGCGUCAUUUUCUCAGAAAUAAUAUCUGAGUCUUCUUCGAGACUUUUCGAUGCUCUCCCUU